This 322-nucleotide ribosomal RNA is filed under the name uncultured eukaryote. Its description in RNAcentral is "partial 18S ribosomal RNA". It matches the Rfam family "Eukaryotic small subunit ribosomal RNA", at positions 1470 to 1796 of the family's 1831-position model. The record is from RNAcentral.
CCCUUAGAUGUUCUGGGCCGCACGCGUGCUACACUGAGUAAUUCAAUGGGUAAGGGAACGCUAGAGCAUUACCUAAUCUUGAAAUUUGCUCGUGAUGGGGAUCGACGGUUGCAAUUUUCCGUCGUGAACGAGGAAUACCUUGUAGGCGCAUGUCAUCAUCAUGCGCCGAAUACGUCCCUGCCCUUUGUACACACCGCCCAUCGCUCCUACCGAUUGAGUGAUCCGGUGAGGCUCUGGGACCUGGACGGAAAGAGCGUUUCGCUUGUUCUGUUUGGGAAACUUGGUCGAACCUUAUCAUUUAGAGGAAGGAGAAGUCGUAACA